RNAcentral lists this ribosomal RNA (1360 nucleotides) under Salmonella enterica. RNAcentral's name for it is "partial 23S ribosomal RNA". It matches the Rfam family "Bacterial large subunit ribosomal RNA", at positions 1441 to 2784 of the family's 2925-position model. The record is from RNAcentral. Lineage: Bacteria; Pseudomonadati; Pseudomonadota; Gammaproteobacteria; Enterobacterales; Enterobacteriaceae.
GUACUUGGUGUUACUGCGAAGGGGGGACGGAGAAGGCUAUGUUGGCCGGGCGACGGUUGUCCCGGUUUAAGCGUGUAGGUGUGUGUUCCAGGUAAAUCCGGUUCACUUUAACACUGAGGCGUGACGACGAGGCACUACGGUGCUGAAGCAACAAAUGCCCUGCUUCCAGGAAAAGCCUCUAAGCAUCAGGUAACACGAAAUCGUACCCCAAACCGACACAGGUGGUCAGGUAGAGAAUACCAAGGCGCUUGAGAGAACUCGGGUGAAGGAACUAGGCAAAAUGGUGCCGUAACUUCGGGAGAAGGCACGCUGACACGUAGGUGAAGUGAUUUACUCACGGAGCUGAAGUCAGUCGAAGAUACCAGCUGGCUGCAACUGUUUAUUAAAAACACAGCACUGUGCAAACACGAAAGUGGACGUAUACGGUGUGACGCCUGCCCGGUGCCGGAAGGUUAAUUGAUGGGGUCAGCGUAAGCGAAGCUCCUGAUCGAAGCCCCGGUAAACGGCGGCCGUAACUAUAACGGUCCUAAGGUAGCGAAAUUCCUUGUCGGGUAAGUUCCGACCUGCACGAAUGGCGUAAUGAUGGCCAGGCUGUCUCCACCCGAGACUCAGUGAAAUUGAACUCGCUGUGAAGAUGCAGUGUACCCGCGGCAAGACGGAAAGACCCCGUGAACCUUUACUAUAGCUUGACACUGAACAUUGAGCCUUGAUGUGUAGGAUAGGUGGGAGGCUUUGAAGUGUGGACGCCAGUCUGCAUGGAGCCGACCUUGAAAUACCACCCUUUAAUGUUUGAUGUUCUAACGUGGACCCGUAAUCCGGGUUGCGGACAGUGUCUGGUGGGUAGUUUGACUGGGGCGGUCUCCUCCUAAAGAGUAACGGAGGAGCACGAAGGUUGGCUAAUCCUGGUCGGACAUCAGGAGGUUAGUGCAAUGGCAUAAGCCAGCUUGACUGCGAGCGUGACGGCGCGAGCAGGUGCGAAAGCAGGUCAUAGUGAUCCGGUGGUUCUGAAUGGAAGGGCCAUCGCUCAACGGAUAAAAGGUACUCCGGGGAUAACAGGCUGAUACCGCCCAAGAGUUCAUAUCGACGGCGGUGUUUGGCACCUCGAUGUCGGCUCAUCACAUCCUGGGGCUGAAGUAGGUCCCAAGGGUAUGGCUGUUCGCCAUUUAAAGUGGUACGCGAGCUGGGUUUAGAACGUCGUGAGACAGUUCGGUCCCUAUCUGCCGUGGGCGCUGGAGAACUGAGGGGGGCUGCUCCUAGUACGAGAGGACCGGAGUGGACGCAUCACUGGUGUUCGGGUUGUCAUGCCAAUGGCACUGCCCGGUAGCUAAAUGCGGAAGAGAUAAGUGCUGAAAGCAUCUAA